This 1482-nucleotide ribosomal RNA is filed under the name uncultured rumen bacterium. RNAcentral's name for it is "16S ribosomal RNA". It matches the Rfam family "Bacterial small subunit ribosomal RNA". The record is from RNAcentral.
AGAGUUUGAUCCUGGCUCAGGAUGAACGCUGGCGGCGUGCUUAACACAUGCAAGUCGAACGGAACCUUAGGGUUUAGUGGCAAACGGGUGAGUAACGCGUAGGUAAUCUGCCUUAUGGAUGGGGACAACAGUUCGAAAGGACUGCUAAUACCGAAUGUUGUAAGUUUUUCGCAUGAAAGAUUUACUAAAGAUUUAUCGCCAUAAGAGGAGCCUGCGUCCGAUUAGGUAGUUGGUGAGGUAAAGGCUUACCAAGCCUGCGAUCGGUAACCGGUCUGAGAGGAUGAACGGUCACAUUGGAACUGAGAAACGGUCCAGACUCCUACGGGAGGCAGCAGUGGGGAAUAUUCCACAAUGGGCGAAAGCCUGAUGGAGCGACGCCGCGUGAGUGAAGAAGGGUUUAGGCUCGUAAAGCUCUUUUGUCUUUGACGAAUAGACUAUUAGAUAGUAAGAGACGGUAGAAGGCGAAUAAGCCACGGCUAACUACGUGCCAGCAGCCGCGGUAAUACGUAGGUGGCAAGCGUUGUCCGGAAUUAUUGGGCGUAAAGGGAGCGCAGGCGGAAUGAUAAGUCUUACUUAAAAGUGCAGGAGUAAAGAAUGUGAUGGGUAAGAAACUGUGAUUCUUGAGAGCAGGAGAGGCAAGCGGAAUUCCUAGUGUAGCGGUGAAAUGCGUAGAUAUUAGGAGGAACACCAGUGGCGAAGGCGGCUUGCUGGACUGCAUCUGACGCUGAGGCUCGAAAGCUAGGGUAGCGAAUGGGAUUAGAUACCCCGGUAGUCCUGGCCGUAAACGAUGGGUACUAGGUGUAGGAGGUAUCGACCCCUUCUGUGCCGGAGUUAACGCAAUAAGUACCCCGCCUGGGGAGUACGGCCGCAAGGUUGAAACUCAAAGGAAUUGACGGGGGCCCGCACAAGCGGUGGAGUAUGUGGUUUAAUUCGACGCAACGCGAAGAACCUUACCAGGGCUUGACAUUGAGCGCCAUACUAAGAGAUUAGUAGUUCCCUUCGGGGACGUGAAAACAGGUGGUGCAUGGCUGUCGUCAGCUCGUGUCGUGAGAUGUUGGGUUAAGUCCCGCAACGAGCGCAACCCCUAUCCUAUGUUACCAGCACGUAAAGGUGGGGACUCAUGGGAGACUGCCAGGGACAACCUGGAGGAAGGCGGGGAUGACGUCAAGUCAUCAUGCCCCUUAUGUCCUGGGCUACACACGUACUACAAUGGUCGGCAACAGAGGGAAGCGAAGCCGCGAGGCAGAGCAAACCCCAGAAACCCGAUCUCAGUUCGGAUCGCAGGCUGCAACCCGCCUGCGUGAAGUCGGAAUCGCUAGUAAUCGCAGGUCAGCAUACUGCGGUGAAUACGUUCCCGGGCCUUGUACACACCGCCCGUCACACCACGAAAGUUGGUAACACCCGAAGCCGGUGAGGUAACCUUAUAGGAGCCAGCCGUCUAAGGUGGGGCCGAUGAUUGGGGUGAAGUCGUAACAAGGUAGC